AGAGUUUGAUCAUGGCUCAGGAUGAACGCUAGCGGUGUGCCUAAUGCAUGCAAGUCGAACGGGAUCCUUUGGAUUCGUCUGAAGGUGAGAGUGGCGGACGGGUGAGUAACGCGUUGGUGACCUGCCCCAGAGAGGGGGACAACCAUUGGAAACGAUGGCUAAUACCCCGGAUGUCAUUGUGUUUAGAAAACAAUGACUAAACGCUCCGGCGCUCUGGGAGGGGCCUGCGUCCCAUCAGCUUGUUGGUAAGGUAAUGGCUUACCAAGGCUAAGACGGGUAGGGGGCGUGAGAGCGUGACCCCCCACACUGGUACUGAAACACGGACCAGAUACCUACGGGUAGCAGCAGCAAGGAAUAUUGCCCAAUGGACGAAAGUCUGAGGCAGCAACACCGCGUGGAGGACGAAGGCCUUCGGGUUGUAAACUCCUUUUCUGGGGGAAGAGAACGGACGGUACCCCAGGAAUAAGGCCCGGCUAACUACGUGCCAGCAGCCGCGGUAAAACGUAGGGGUCGAGCGUUAUCCGGAUUUACUGGGCGUAAAGAGCAUGUAGGCGGUUGCUUAAGUCGGACGUGAAAGCUCCUGGCUCAACUAGGAGAGGCCGUUCGAAACUAAGUGACUCGAGGAUGGUAGAGGAGAGUGGAAUUCCAGGUGUAGUGGUGAAAUGCGUAGAUAUCUGGAGGAACACCAGUGGCGAAGGCGGCUCUCUGGGCCAUUCCUGACGCUGAGAUGCGAAAGCUAGGGGAGAGAACGGGAUUAGAAACCCCGGUAUUCCUAGCCGUAAACGAUGUCAACUAGGUGUAGGAGGUAUUGACCCCUUCUGUGCUGCAGCAAACGCGUUAAGUUGACCGCCUGGGGACUACGGCCGCAAGGCUAAAACUCAAAGGAAUUGACGG
This 894-nucleotide ribosomal RNA is filed under the name uncultured bacterium. RNAcentral's name for it is "bacterial SSU rRNA". It matches the Rfam family "Bacterial small subunit ribosomal RNA", at positions 8 to 916 of the family's 1533-position model. The record is from RNAcentral.